UACGUAGGGUGCAAGCGUUGUCUGGAAUUAUUGGGCGUAAAGAGCUCGUAGGCGGUCUGUUGCGUCGGCUGUGAAAACCCGGGGCUCAACUCCGGGCCUGCAGCCGAUACGGGCAGACUAGAGUUCGGCAGGGGAGACUGGAAUUCCUGGUGUAGCGGUGAAAUGCGCAGAUAUCAGGAGGAACACCGGUGGCGAAGGCGGGUCUCUGGGCCGAUACUGACGCUGAGGAGCGAAAGCGUGGGGAGCGAACAGG
Molecule: ribosomal RNA, 253 nt
Filed under: uncultured bacterium
Lineage: Bacteria
Description: partial 16S ribosomal RNA
Rfam family: Bacterial small subunit ribosomal RNA
Source: RNAcentral